AUGGCUGUCGUCAGCUCGUGUCGUGAGAUGUUCGGUUAAGUCCGGCAACGAGCGCAACCCACAUCCUUAGUUACCAGCGGUUCGGCCGGGAACUCUAAGGAAACUGCCCGUGAUAAGCGGGAGGAAGGUGUGGAUGACGUCAAGUCCUCAUGGCCCUUACGGGUUGGGCUACACACGUGCUACAAUGGUAGUGACAAUGGGUUAAUCCCAAAAAGCUGUCUCAGUUCGGAUUGGGGUCUGCAACUCGACCCCAUGAAGUCGGAAUCGCUAGUAAUCGCGUAACAGCAUGACGCGGUGAAUACGUUCCCGGGCCUUGUACACACCGCCCGUGGGGCGGGGGCGGCGGGCCGGGCGCGGGGCGCGGCG
RNAcentral lists this ribosomal RNA (366 nucleotides) under uncultured bacterium. RNAcentral's name for it is "bacterial SSU rRNA". It matches the Rfam family "Bacterial small subunit ribosomal RNA", at positions 1045 to 1433 of the family's 1533-position model. The record is from RNAcentral.